Molecule: ribosomal RNA, 469 nt
Filed under: uncultured bacterium
Lineage: Bacteria
Description: partial 16S ribosomal RNA
Rfam family: Bacterial small subunit ribosomal RNA
Source: RNAcentral
GACGAACGCUGGCGGCGUGCUUAACGCAUGCAAGUCGAACGGAAAGGCCCUGCUUGCAGGGUGCUCGAGUGGCGAACGGGUGAGUAACACGUGGGUGAUCUGCCCCUUAUUUUGGGAUAAGCCUGGGAAACUGGGUCUAAUACUGGAUAGGACCAUGCUGUAGGUGGUGUGGUGGAAAGAUUAGUUUCGGUAAGGGAUGAGCUCGCGGCCUAUCAGCUUGUUGGUGGGGUAAUGGCCUACCAAGGCGUCGACGGGUAGCCGGCCUGAGAGGGUGGACGGCCACAUUGGGACUGAGAUACGGCCCAGACUCCUACGGGAGGCAGCAGUGGGGAAUAUUGCACAAUGGGCGCAAGCCUGAUGCAGCGACGCCGCGUGGGGGAUGACGGCCUUCGGGUUGUAAACUCCUUUCAGCCAUGACGAAGCCCUUGUGGUGACGGUAGUGGUAGAAGAAGCACCGGCUAACUACGUG